UCCGGUUUGGCACCGGCAGUCCUCCCAGAGUCCUCGACUUGACUCGCUAGCAACUGGGAGCGGGGGUUGCGCUCUUUGAUGGACUUAACCAAACACCUCACGGCACGAGCUGACGACAGCCAUGCAGCACCUGUGCUCGCUCCCCUUACGAGGUCAUCCCCGUUUCCGGUUCUUACCACGAGCAUGUCAAGCCCAGGUAAGGUUCUUCGCGUUGCCUCGAAUUAAGCCACAUGCUCCGCCGCUUGUGCGGGUCCCCGUCAAUUCCUUUGAGUUUUAGCCUUGCGGCCGUACUCCCCAGGCGGGGUGCUUAAUGCGUUAGCUGCGGCACGGAUCCCGUCGAUAGGGACCCACACCUAGCACCCAUCGUUUACGGCGUGGACUAC
This 383-nucleotide unclassified non-coding RNA is filed under the name uncultured bacterium. Its description in RNAcentral is "contains 16S-23S intergenic spacer region". The record is from RNAcentral.